RNAcentral lists this ribosomal RNA (408 nucleotides) under Pseudapanteles sp. JCB-2006. Its description in RNAcentral is "partial 16S ribosomal RNA". The record is from RNAcentral. Lineage: Eukaryota; Metazoa; Arthropoda; Insecta; Hymenoptera; Braconidae.
GUCUUAUUGAAAUAUAAUUUUAAGUCUAAUCUGCUCAAUGAAUAAUUUAAAUAGCUGCAGUAUUAAUAACUGUACUAAGGUAGCAUAAUAAAUAGUUUUUUAAUUGGAAUCUAGAAUGAAAGAUUUAAUGAAAUAUAAACUGUUUCAGAUUUAAUUAAUGAAUUUUUUUUUAAAUAAGAAAAUUUAAAUAUAUUAUAAAGACAAGAAGACCCUGUAGAAUUUUUAUAAUUAAUUUAUUAUUAUAAUAAGUUUAUUUUUUUAAUUGGGGAAAUUUUAAAAUUUAUUUAAUUUUUAAUUAAUUUAUCAUUUAUUUUUGUAUAAUUAUAUUUUAUUAAAAUAUAAAUUAAAAUUACCUUAGGGAUAACAGCAUAAUUUUAUUUUUAAGUUCAAAUUUUUAAUAAAGUUUAU